Molecule: ribosomal RNA, 557 nt
Filed under: Mastigocladus sp. CKI3
Lineage: Bacteria; Bacillati; Cyanobacteriota; Cyanophyceae; Nostocales; Hapalosiphonaceae
Description: partial 16S ribosomal RNA
Source: RNAcentral
CSKUGSGGAGCUUACMCAUGCAGUCGAACGGGGCUUUUCGGAGCCUAGUGGCGGACGGGUGAGUAACGCGUGAGAAUCUAGCUUCAGGUUCGGGACAACAUUGGGAAACCGAUGCUAAUACCGGAUGUGCCGAGAGGUGAAAGGCUAGCUGCCUGAAGAUGAGCUCGCGUCUGAUUAGCUAGUUGGUGGUGUAAGGGACUACCAAGGCGACGAUCAGUAGCUGGUCUGAGAGGAUGAUCAGCCACACUGGAACUGAGACACGGUCCAGACUCCUACGGGAGGCAGCAGUGGGGAAUUUUCCGCAAUGGGCGAAAGCCUGACGGAGCAAUACCGCGUGAGGGAGGAAGGCUCUUGGGUUGUAAACCUCUUUUCUCAAGGAAUAACACUGAAGGKACUUGAGGAAUCAGCAUCGGCUAACUCCGUGCCAGCARCCGCGGUAAUACGGAGGAUGCMAGCGUUAUCCGGAAUGAUUGGGCGUAAAGCGUCCGCARGUGGGUGGGUGUAUCUAUUGGYCAAGGGGCCAGCUUAMACUGGUAWAGGGAGUGGAAAWACACCAA